Molecule: ribosomal RNA, 466 nt
Filed under: uncultured bacterium
Lineage: Bacteria
Description: partial 16S ribosomal RNA
Rfam family: Bacterial small subunit ribosomal RNA
Source: RNAcentral
GACGAACGCUGGCGGCGUGCUUAACACAUGCAAGUCGAACGGAAAGGCCCUGCUUGCAGGGUACUCGAGUGGCGAACGGGUGAGUAACACGUGGGUGAUCUGCCCUGCACUUCGGGAUAAGCUUGGGAAACUGGGUCUAAUACCGGAUAGGAGCCAUCUUUAGUGUGGUGGUUGGAAAGUUUUUUCGGUGUAGGAUGAGCUCGCGGCCUAUCAGCUUGUUGGUGGGGUAAUGGCCUACCAAGGCGGCGACGGGUAGCCGGCCUGAGAGGGUGUACGGCCACACUGGGACUGAGAUACGGCCCAGACUCCUACGUGAGGCAGCAGUGGGGAAUAUUGCACAAUGGGCGCAAGCCUGAUGCAGCGACGCCGCGUGGGGGAUGAAGGCCUUCGGGUUGUAAACUCCUUUCGCUAGGGACGAAGCUUUGUUGUGACGGUACCUAGAUAAGAAGCACCGGCUAACUACGUG